RNAcentral lists this ribosomal RNA (2365 nucleotides) under Salmonella enterica. RNAcentral's name for it is "bacterial LSU rRNA". It matches the Rfam family "Bacterial large subunit ribosomal RNA", at positions 593 to 2925 of the family's 2925-position model. Lineage: Bacteria; Pseudomonadati; Pseudomonadota; Gammaproteobacteria; Enterobacterales; Enterobacteriaceae. The record is from RNAcentral. RNAcentral also lists the same sequence under 1 other name.
GUGACUGCGUACCUUUUGUAUAAUGGGUCAGCGACUUAUAUUCUGUAGCAAGGUUAACCGAAUAGGGGAGCCGGAGGGAAACCGAGUCUUAACCGGGCGUUAAGUUGCAGGGUAUAGACCCGAAACCCGGUGAUCUAGCCAUGGGCAGGUUGAAGGUUGGGUAACACUAACUGGAGGACCGAACCGACUAAUGUUGAAAAAUUAGCGGAUGACCUGUGGCUGGGGGUGAAAGGCCAAUCAAACCGGGAGAUAGCUGGUUCUCCCCGAAAGCUAUUUAGGUAGCGCCUCGUGAAUUCAUCUCCGGGGGUAGAGCACUGUUUCGGCUAGGGGGCCAUCCCGGCUUACCAACCCGAUGCAAACUGCGAAUACCGGAGAAUGUUAUCACGGGAGACACACGGCGGGUGCUAACGUCCGUCGUGAAGAGGGAAACAACCCAGACCGCCAGCUAAGGUCCCAAAGUCAUGGUUAAGUGGGAAACGAUGUGGGAAGGCCCAGACAGCCAGGAUGUUGGCUUAGAAGCAGCCAUCAUUUAAAGAAAGCGUAAUAGCUCACUGGUCGAGUCGGCCUGCGCGGAAGAUGUAACGGGGCUAAACCAUGCACCGAAGCUGCGGCAGCGACACUGUGUGUUGUUGGGUAGGGGAGCGUUCUGUAAGCCUGUGAAGGUGUGUCGUGAGGCAUGCUGGAGGUAUCAGAAGUGCGAAUGCUGACAUAAGUAACGAUAAAGCGGGUGAAAAGCCCGCUCGCCGGAAGACCAAGGGUUCCUGUCCAACGUUAAUCGGGGCAGGGUGAGUCGACCCCUAAGGCGAGGCCGAAAGGCGUAGUCGAUGGGAAACGGGUUAAUAUUCCCGUACUUGGUGUUACUGCGAAGGGGGGACGGAGAAGGCUAUGUUGGCCGGGCGACGGUUGUCCCGGUUUAAGCGUGUAGGUGUGUGUUCCAGGUAAAUCCGGUUCACUUUAACACUGAGGCGUGACGACGAGGCACUACGGUGCUGAAGCAACAAAUGCCCUGCUUCCAGGAAAAGCCUCUAAGCAUCAGGUAACAUCAAAUCGUACCCCAAACCGACACAGGUGGUCAGGUAGAGAAUACCAAGGCGCUUGAGAGAACUCGGGUGAAGGAACUAGGCAAAAUGGUGCCGUAACUUCGGGAGAAGGCACGCUGACACGUAGGUGAAGUGAUUUACUCAUGGAGCUGAAGUCAGUCGAAGAUACCAGCUGGCUGCAACUGUUUAUUAAAAACACAGCACUGUGCAAACACGAAAGUGGACGUAUACGGUGUGACGCCUGCCCGGUGCCGGAAGGUUAAUUGAUGGGGUCAGCGCAAGCGAAGCUCCUGAUCGAAGCCCCGGUAAACGGCGGCCGUAACUAUAACGGUCCUAAGGUAGCGAAAUUCCUUGUCGGGUAAGUUCCGACCUGCACGAAUGGCGUAAUGAUGGCCAGGCUGUCUCCACCCGAGACUCAGUGAAAUUGAACUCGCUGUGAAGAUGCAGUGUACCCGCGGCAAGACGGAAAGACCCCGUGAACCUUUACUAUAGCUUGACACUGAACAUUGAGCCUUGAUGUGUAGGAUAGGUGGGAGGCUUUGAAGUGUGGACGCCAGUCUGCAUGGAGCCGACCUUGAAAUACCACCCUUUAAUGUUUGAUGUUCUAACGUGGACCCGUUACCCGGGUUGCGGACAGUGUCUGGUGGGUAGUUUGACUGGGGCGGUCUCCUCCUAAAGAGUAACGGAGGAGCACGAAGGUUGGCUAAUCCUGGUCGGACAUCAGGAGGUUAGUGCAAUGGCAUAAGCCAGCUUGACUGCGAGCGUGACGGCGCGAGCAGGUGCGAAAGCAGGUCAUAGUGAUCCGGUGGUUCUGAAUGGAAGGGCCAUCGCUCAACGGAUAAAAGGUACUCCGGGGAUAACAGGCUGAUACCGCCCAAGAGUUCAUAUCGACGGCGGUGUUUGGCACCUCGAUGUCGGCUCAUCACAUCCUGGGGCUGAAGUAGGUCCCAAGGGUAUGGCUGUUCGCCAUUUAAAGUGGUACGCGAGCUGGGUUUAGAACGUCGUGAGACAGUUCGGUCCCUAUCUGCCGUGGGCGCUGGAGAACUGAGGGGGGCUGCUCCUAGUACGAGAGGACCGGAGUGGACGCAUCACUGGUGUUCGGGUUGUCAUGCCAAUGGCACUGCCCGGUAGCUAAAUGCGGAAGAGAUAAGUGCUGAAAGCAUCUAAGCACGAAACUUGCCCCGAGAUGAGUUCUCCCUGAGACUUAGAGUCUCCUGAAGGAACGUUGAAGACGACGACGUUGAUAGGCCGGGUGUGUAAGCGCAGCGAUGCGUUGAGCUAACCGGUACUAAUGAACCGUGAGGCUUAACCUUACAACGCCGAAG